RNAcentral lists this ribosomal RNA (509 nucleotides) under uncultured bacterium. RNAcentral describes it as "bacterial SSU rRNA". It matches the Rfam family "Bacterial small subunit ribosomal RNA", at positions 28 to 526 of the family's 1533-position model. The record is from RNAcentral.
GAUGAACGCUAGCGGCAGGCCUAACACAUGCAAGUCGAGGGGCAGCAUAAAAAUAGCUUGCUAUUUUGGUGGCGACCGGCGCACGGGUGAGUAACGCGUAUGCAACCUACCUUGUACAGGGGGGAUAGCCCGGAGAAAUUCGGAUUAAUACCCCAUAGUAUUAUUAGAUAGCAUUAUUUGAUAAUUAAAGCUUUGGCGGUACAAGAUGGGCAUGCGUCCUAUUAGCUAGAUGGUAAGGUAACGGCUUACCAUGGCUACGAUAGGUAGGGGGCCUGAGAGGGUGGUCCCCCACACUGGUACUGAGACACGGACCAGACUCCUACGGGAGGCAGCAGUGAGGAAUAUUGGUCAAUGGGCGCAAGCCUGAACCAGCCAUGCCGCGUGAAGGAUGAAGGUUCUAUGGAUUGUAAACUUCUUUUAUUUGGGAAUAAACCUCUUUACGUGUAGAGAGCUGAAGGUACCAAAUGAAUAAGCACCGGCUAACUCCGUGCCAGCAGCCGCGGUAAAGU